RNAcentral lists this ribosomal RNA (406 nucleotides) under uncultured bacterium. RNAcentral's name for it is "partial 16S ribosomal RNA". It matches the Rfam family "Bacterial small subunit ribosomal RNA", at positions 30 to 526 of the family's 1533-position model. The record is from RNAcentral.
AUUGAACGCUGGCGGCAGGCCUAACACAUGCAAGUCGAGCGAGCGGCGGACGGGUGAGUAAUGUCUUGGAAACUGCCUGAUGGAGGGGGAUAACUACUGGAAACGUUAGCUAAUACCGCAUACCAUCAGAUUUGCCCAGAUGGGAUUAGCUGGGAGGUGGGGUAACGGCUCACCUAGGCGACGAUCCCUAGCUGGUCUGAGAGGAUGACCAGCCACACUGGCACUGAGACACGGGCCAGACUCCUACGGGAGGCAGAAGUGGGGAAUAUUGCACAAUGGGCGCAAUCCUGAUGCAGCCAUGCCGCGUGUGUGAAGAAGGCCUUCGGGUUGUAAAGCACUUUCAGCGGGGAGGCGUUACCCGCAGAAGAAGCACCGGCUAACUCCGUGCCAGCAGCCGCGGUAAUUC